UGCUGGCGCAAGUCGUCUUGCGUCGGGGGACUGGGUCUGAGGAGGCAGGAGUUAUUCAUUCCCUUAAGCUUUCAGGCCGGGGGGAGAAUCUUUCAGGUGGUAGCUGCAAGAACUCUUAGUAUGUUGACCUCACCUCUGCCUUCCACAUACCACUACCAGUGAGGAAUUAGGAAUGCAUGAGAAGAGUGUCCGAGAAGAGUGUCCUCAUUCAUGCAAGGCUUAAGAGAGAAUGGAGGUCAACAUCACCAUGUCAAUCAGAGAAUACUUCUGUUGGGUUGAAUGACUCUCUGCCCCCAGUCUGACUGGUUGGGAGAGGCCCUUUUCCCAGCCUUUGUGAAAGAGAUCUUCAUGUAAACAGAGUCCCUCUUACUGGCUGAAGUGAAGAGUCAUUCUGAGGCAUCUCAAGAUGAAGGUUUCCUAUUUGUGAUUAUGAAAAAAAUGUCAAGAACAAGUCCCUUGGUGUUCUUAGACCGAAGUCAGAACAACAGACCUAGUCAAGAGGAACAGCAUCAAUUGUUAAUAUGCUGUCUGCAUUUAACCCCCAAAGGAUUAUUUUCAGAAUGAAAUGAUCUGUGGUCUUUAAGGGGUGGGGAUGGGAGGAGCUGAAGAACUCUUGGUCCUUCAAAGAGGUCCCAGUGGACUUGAUUUCUCAGUGGAAACAAAGGGAUUUCCUUCUGCAGUGGGAAAGAGACACGAAGUGAUAAACCGAGCACCCUCUUUGAAGAUUUCCCAGUAUAUUGUCCC
This 744-nucleotide long non-coding RNA is filed under the name Pan troglodytes (chimpanzee). RNAcentral's name for it is "lincRNA". The record is from RNAcentral. Lineage: Eukaryota; Metazoa; Chordata; Mammalia; Primates; Hominidae.